Molecule: ribosomal RNA, 440 nt
Filed under: uncultured bacterium
Lineage: Bacteria
Description: partial 16S ribosomal RNA
Rfam family: Bacterial small subunit ribosomal RNA
Source: RNAcentral
CCUACGGGUGGCAGCAGUAGGGAAUAUUUCUCAAUGGGCGAAACCCUGAAGCAGCAACGCCGCGUGCAGGAUGAAGGUUUUCGGAUUGUAAACUCCUUUUGUUAGCGACGAUAAUGACGGUAACUAACGAAUAAUCACCGGCUAACUCCGUGCCAGCAGCCGCGGUCAUACGGAGGGUGCAAGCGUUACGCGGAAUCACUGGGCGUAAAGAGCGCGUAGGGGGGAUAGCAAGUCAGAUGGGAAAUCCUAUGGCUUAACCCUAGAACUGCAUUGGAAACUGUUAUUCUAGAGUAUGGGAGGGGUAGGUGGAAUUCUUGGUGUAGGAGUAAAAUCCGUAGAGAUCAAGAGGAAUACUCAUUGCGAAGGCGAGCUGCUAGAACAUAACUGACGCUGAUGCGCGAAAGCGUAGGGAGCAAACAGGAUUAGAUACCCCUGUAGUC